UUUCCGUAGGUGAACCUGCGGAAGGAUCAAUAGCGAGCGAGUGGAGCGAGCGAGUGGGUGGGCAACCGAUGUGCGUAGCACGGAGGGAGCGAGCCUGCAGACACGCACCCACGCACCAACCAACACCCUGUCGAACGCGAUGCCGCCGGUCACGCAUGUGCACAUUCACAUUCACAUUCACACUGUGCUUGUGUGUGUGCAUGACGGGCGGCACCUGAACAACGAGCGCGCAUGUGCAAAAAUGAUACACGAUGACAUGAUACAAAGGAGAAACAACUUUUAACAAUGGAUCUCUUGGCUCUU
Molecule: unclassified non-coding RNA, 303 nt
Filed under: plant metagenome
Description: partial contains small subunit ribosomal RNA, internal transcribed spacer 1, and 5.8S ribosomal RNA
Source: RNAcentral